AUGCGACCCCAGGAUGGGCGAGGCCACCC
RNAcentral lists this ribosomal RNA (29 nucleotides) under Guarianthe aurantiaca. Its description in RNAcentral is "partial 26S ribosomal RNA". Lineage: Eukaryota; Viridiplantae; Streptophyta; Magnoliopsida; Asparagales; Orchidaceae. RNAcentral also lists the same sequence under 4 other names. The record is from RNAcentral.